AUAAAAAACUACGUCUCAUGCGAGGUAUCGGCAUAGAUUCACAAUGAGUUUUACCUAAGCUGGAUCAGUCCCAAUUACUCUCUCAACCUUUAUGGAAUGUUUAGGACACCUCUCGCCUAUCGAAUGUCGUUCCGUCCCGCCACAGCCAUCAAUGCCCGCCGUCUUCGUCUAGCCGUUGGAGUUGCUGAAUCUGCGUAGACGGUAAGGUAGGUCCCUUGGGUGGACAUGGGCAGAGAAGCCGAUUGUGUUCACAUAUUGAGGGUGCAUAGUAGAUACACACACACACACAUAUAUAUAUAUAUAUAUAUUUAUGGCAAUCAACGAGUGAAGCCGAUUUAAGAUCAUAGGAUAAAGGCUUUUAC
This 362-nucleotide long non-coding RNA is filed under the name Durio zibethinus. RNAcentral's name for it is "long non-coding RNA (DZIB_LNC002093)". The record is from RNAcentral. Lineage: Eukaryota; Viridiplantae; Streptophyta; Magnoliopsida; Malvales; Malvaceae.